RNAcentral lists this ribosomal RNA (254 nucleotides) under uncultured bacterium. RNAcentral describes it as "partial 16S ribosomal RNA". It matches the Rfam family "Bacterial small subunit ribosomal RNA", at positions 524 to 777 of the family's 1533-position model. The record is from RNAcentral.
UACAGAGGUCUCAACCGUUGUUCGGAUUCAUUGGGCGUAAAGGGUGCGUAGGCGGUCGCGCAAGUCGGAUGUGAAAUCUUGGGGCUCAACCCCGAAACUGCAUUCGAUACUGCGUGGCUCGAGUACUGGAGGGGAGACUGGAAUUUACGGUGUAGCAGUGAAAUGCGUAGAUAUCGUAAGGAAGACCAGUGGCGAAGGCGAGUCUCUGGACAGUUACUGACGCUGAGGCACGAAGGCCAGGGGAGCAAACGGGG